Ornithorhynchus anatinus (platypus) is the source of this 1396-nucleotide long non-coding RNA. RefSeq lists it as uncharacterized. Lineage: Eukaryota; Metazoa; Chordata; Mammalia; Monotremata; Ornithorhynchidae. The transcript is spliced from 4 exons. The record is from RefSeq and is a predicted model, not a curated record.
GUUUUGCGUACCUCCCCCAGGGCCAACUCAGUUCUAGAGUUACGCCUCCCACUUCCAACGUCUUGGGGAAACUGCCAGGGUAAAACAGAUGUGCCGGAGUCCCUUGAAAGCAGCUGACCAGAGCCGAUGGAGGCAGUGAUUGACUGGCAGAGCAGUCGACGGGACGGGAAGACCUUGGCUCCAGCCUCCCGGCUCUGAAAUCUCUCAACUAUCUUCAGAAGCAUGCCCCUAGGCCACAAACUAAGUGCUCCAUCAGCAGUCACACUGAACUUAGAAAAGGAGAGCAAGGAACAUGGACGAAUGAUCCGGUCAGGAGCUAGGAUGGAAUUAAGCAGCCCGCACAUUCUGUCGCUCCACCAAGGAAACCUCGGGAACAGAGGCAACCAACAGGCAGGAGUCACGGAACCAUCUGGAGAGUCGUGGGGAGGGCCUCAGAAGGCAUGGUCCAGCACUGGAACUGGACUUUCUGGGAGACCCUCGGACCGACAGGACCUUCAGAGGCUCUUCCGACAGGAAGUUCAGUGCUAGCAAUUCCUGUCUCAUGGAACUCUACAGAAAAGGAUGUCAGCAGCAGUGGGGAGACUUGGGAAUUCAACCUCUAGAGGAUUCUUUGAUAUAAGACUUCAUCAACUGAAAAUUUUUGUUUUAAAUUUGAGAACAAUGGUGGGCAAUUGGAAUUGAAAAAGCUACGGGUGUAGGAACAGUUGGACCCGCAGAUCUAAAGGUUUUUCUCCUCGAUCUCCCCCCGGUUGCUGCAGCCAUUUGCCUGGCCCUAUACUACUGCUUUCUUGUGUGGCCUCUGGCCCCAUGUUAUAAGUGCCUGUGAGUGUGUGUAUUGGUUUUUCCUGGGCGCCCCUCCCCACCCCUGCUCCCAAGCAAAUGUUCAUUUUCUGUGGGUGCUUCCAGCAAUUGCUAGGUAUUAUUUCUCUAUUUCCUUCCUGGGAGCAUAACUCCCACUUGGUUAUUUAUUUAUAGUAAGUAUCUGCCUCCCCCGCUAAUCUGUAGAGCAUUUUGGACAGGAACCAUGUCUACCGAUUCUUGUUACAGUAUACUCUCCCAAGUGCUUAGUACCGUACUCUGCACACAGUAGGCACUCAAUAAAUGUGAUUCAUUGAUUGAUUUGAUCCUUUCUCCGUUAAGAACAAGACACAAUCAUGCAGCAGCAUUCUGUAUGAGGCACGUUUAACUGUUUCACUAGCUCAUUUGCUUUAAGCAGAAAACUUCGACAUGGUGGAACAAGGGGUAAGUAUUAGUGUUGGCAUUUGGUUGUGGUAGCAUUUGACAGCCUUGUCCUAUUUCACCAGGGCCUGGCUAGUUGGCUUUUCCUUUUCCCAAAUACAAAACAAAAACCCUCAUACUUGUAUUUGUAAGAUUAUAUGAAUCUGAUCAGUAAAGG